RNAcentral lists this long non-coding RNA (1129 nucleotides) under Bos grunniens (domestic yak). Its description in RNAcentral is "lncRNA (ENSBGRG00000001552.1)". The record is from RNAcentral. Lineage: Eukaryota; Metazoa; Chordata; Mammalia; Artiodactyla; Bovidae.
AGUUCUCCUGAGGAGGGUAAUAGCAAAUACUAUUCUAGAUGCCAAAGUGUGCUGUGCUAAGUUGCUUCAGUCAUGUCCAGCUCUUUGAGGCCCUAUGGACUAUAACCCACCAGGCUUCUCUGUCCUAGGGAUUUUCCAGGCAAAAAUACUGGAGUGGGUUGCCAUUUCUUUCUCCAGAGAUGCCAAGGAGGUAAGUUAAUUCAUUACAUAAAUGGAUAUCUUAGGCUAUUAAGACUUAGUUUUCUCAUGGCACCCCAGUUAAGAAGACCUGGUAUGGGGAACUGACACGAAGCCUGGCAUUUGCUUUAAAUUACUGGAGUGUGAGAUGGAUAAAACAAGGUUGGCAAAAUACUAAUAAUCUUUGGAUCUGGGUUAUGAAAACAUGGAGGUUCUUUAUGGUGUUUUCUGUCCAUUUUUGUAUGUGUAAAAGCUUCCGUAAUAGUCACUACAAACUUGGUUUUUCAAGAUGAGGAGGAGGUGAAACAGUUCUUUCUCAGGAGGAAAGAGGCCUAUUUUUUAUUUUUUUUCCUCUCUGUGUCUCUGUGGGGUGUGAGUUGGGGUGUAAAGGAAGAGAGGCGGGUCUCUUGCUUGGGAGGAGCGUUGUGUCUGUUCAGCCCUCCUUGCAGGCUCUUUUGUUCCUUCCUCCUCGGCUCACCCCUGACUGAUGGAGGGGAGCAGACUUGUCUUAGCUGAUGGUUUUUGAUCAUCCUGAGAAGAAUGAGCCUUGGCCUCCAGACCCAGUAAAACAGACAUCCAUGGAGAACAGUGUUCGUUCCUGAGGACCUGGAGGGCUUGCAGCCCAGGAGGAUUAGCUAGAAGCAGGUAAGGAACACCUGGAGGAGUGGGAUGUGGAAGCAGCAUGGGGUCCAUACUCUGUUUAGGAGGCACAGUGGAGUGCGCUGGUAAGAAGCCAUAGGGGCUCAAUGUAUGGCUACAGCUUUGCUGUUUUCUUUGUGUUUUUUAUUUAUUUAUUUUUCAGUCCCUAGUGUUGAUAGGUGAUUUGCCUAUUUCUAUAAACUAUAAGAUUUAAAUUUAUUCUGUAAUUCAAUCUACCUUUUUAAAGCACCUAUUCUGGCCAAACCCUGCAUUUGAUACCCAGCAGGUAGUGAUAUAGUGAUAUAGAUGGGUA